This 381-nucleotide ribosomal RNA is filed under the name uncultured bacterium. Its description in RNAcentral is "bacterial SSU rRNA". It matches the Rfam family "Bacterial small subunit ribosomal RNA", at positions 29 to 400 of the family's 1533-position model. The record is from RNAcentral.
AACGAACGCUGGCGGCGCGCCUAAUACAUGCAAGUCGAGCGAGAAGACGUAGCAAUACGUUUGUAAAGCGGCGAACGGGUGAGGAAUACAUGGGUAACCUACCCUCGAGUGGGGAAUAACUAGCCGAAAGGUUAGCUAAUACCGCGUACGCUUCUUGGACUUCGGUUCAGGGAGGAAAGCGAUACCGUGGGUAUCGCGCUCUUGGAUGGGCUCAUGUCCUAUCAGCUUGUUGGGAGGUAACGGCUCACCAAGGCUUCGACGGGUAGCUGGUCUGAGAGGACGAUCAGCCACACUGGCACUGCGACACGGGCCAGACUCCUACGGGAGGCAGCAGUAAGGAAUAUUGCGCAAGUGGGCGAAAGCCUGACGCAGCGACGCCGC